This 959-nucleotide small RNA is filed under the name Caenorhabditis elegans. Its description in RNAcentral is "Unclassified non-coding RNA K07E12.9". The record is from RNAcentral. Lineage: Eukaryota; Metazoa; Nematoda; Chromadorea; Rhabditida; Rhabditidae.
GGUGCUCCCAACUGAUGAAUCUGGAAACUAUGUGUACCCAGAAGUAAAAUCAGAUGAACAACUGCUUCCAACUGAUCAUACUGGAAAAACUGUGUAUCCAGUUCAUGGUCCAGAUGGAACUCCACUUCCAACAGAUGAUUCUGGUGCAAUUAUUGGCCCCGACGGAGAAGUCAUUCCUACUGAUGAAAAUGGAAUUCCUUUAUCAAAGGAUGGAUCACAACUUCCUACGGAUAACAAUGGAAAUUACGUACUUGUUCCAUCAGAUGAAGGUGCCACGAAGACCCACCCCACUGAUGAGACUAGUGAUGCCGUUCAUCCAAUCACUAAACCAGAUGGAACUCCACUUGCUACUGACUCCACCGGAAACUUUGUUACAGAAAAUGGGGACGUCAUUACUAAGGAUGAAGAAGGAAAACCUCUUGGACCAAAUGGACAGGUUUGUGAAAGACUCGUGUUUUUUCCAUUUGAUUAUUUUUUGUUCACAAAGCCAGAUAAGUGGAUUUAGUAAACUGUUUUUUUUUCAGAUCUUGCCAACUGACGCUUCUGGGAAUUACAUUUACCCAGUUAUUGGACCAGAUGGACAAGCCCUGCCAACUGAUGAAUCUGGAAAGACUGUCUACCCAGUACGCGGACCAGAUGGAACUCCACUUCCAACUGAUGCUUCUGGAGCUGUUAUCAGUCCUGAUGGAGAAGUGAUUCCCACUGACGCAAACGGAAUUCCUCUAGAUAAAGAUGGAUCUCCACUUCCAACCGAUGCUUCUGGAAAUUAUAUUCUAGUGCCUUCUGAACAGGACAUAACAAAAACUCUCCCAACCGAUGACUCUGGAAACGUGAUCUAUCCAAUCACCAAACCAGAUGGUACUUCUCUGGCAACUGACUCAACUGGGUCCUUCGUAACUGAAGGUGGAGAAAUUGUUGAGAGAGACGAAGAUGGUAAACCACUUGGACCAGAUGGACAG